GACGAACGCUGGCGGCGUGCUUAACACAUGCAAGUCGAACGGAAAGGCCCUGCUUUUGUGUGGUGCUCGAGUGGCGAACGGGUGAGUAACACGUGAGUAACCUGCCCUUGACUUUGGGAUAACUUCAGGAAACUGGGGCUAAUACCGGAUAGGAGCUCCUGCUGCAUGGUGGUGGUUGGAAAGUUUCGGCGGUUGGGGAUGGACUCGCGGCUUAUCAGCUUGUUGGUGGGGUAGUGGCUUACCAAGGCUUUGACGGGUAGCCGGCCUGAGAGGGUGACCGGCCACAUUGGGACUGAGAUACGGCCCAGACUCCUACGGGAGGCAGCAGUGGGGAAUAUUGCACAAUGGGCGGAAGCCUGAUGCAGCAACGCCGCGUGCGGGAUGACGGCCUUCGGGUUGUAAACCGCUUUCGCCUGUGACGAAGCGUGAGUGACGGUAAUGGGUAAAGAAGCACCGGCUAACUACGUG
Molecule: ribosomal RNA, 468 nt
Filed under: uncultured bacterium
Lineage: Bacteria
Description: partial 16S ribosomal RNA
Rfam family: Bacterial small subunit ribosomal RNA
Source: RNAcentral